CUCUCUCUCUCUCUCUCUCUCUCAGGUUUUAGAGAUCGGAAGCGUGGUUACAGUUUUGUGCUGUAGCUGUUAACUGGUGAGAGCGACAGAGGAAUUGUAGAGAAAAUUAAAAAGCUAGUUGGCUGAUUAUUGACUGCUUGAUUUAAAUUGUUGUGUUAUUGUAUGAUCUAGUGUGUGAGAGUCUUUGGUAAUUGAGAGUGACUAUGAGC
Molecule: long non-coding RNA, 209 nt
Organism: Arabidopsis thaliana (thale cress)
Lineage: Eukaryota; Viridiplantae; Streptophyta; Magnoliopsida; Brassicales; Brassicaceae
Product: other RNA
Exons: 1
Source: RefSeq